Molecule: ribosomal RNA, 164 nt
Filed under: Pectis imberbis
Lineage: Eukaryota; Viridiplantae; Streptophyta; Magnoliopsida; Asterales; Asteraceae
Description: 5.8S ribosomal RNA
Rfam family: 5.8S ribosomal RNA
About the family: 5.8S ribosomal RNA (5.8S rRNA) is a component of the large subunit of the eukaryotic ribosome.
Source: RNAcentral
UAAACGACUCUCGGCAACGGAUAUCUCGGCUCACGCAUCGAUGAAGAACGUAGCAAAAUGCGAUACUUGGUGUGAAUUGCAGAAUCCCGUGAACCAUCGAGUUUUUGAACGCAAGUUGCGCCCGAUGCCAUCUGGUUGAGGGCACGUCUGCCUGGGCGUCACGC